Molecule: unclassified non-coding RNA, 627 nt
Filed under: Hevea brasiliensis (rubber tree)
Lineage: Eukaryota; Viridiplantae; Streptophyta; Magnoliopsida; Malpighiales; Euphorbiaceae
Source: RNAcentral
UUAAAGUUGAGACUUGAGAGCCAUAUUAGUAUGGGAUGUUGAUUGCCAGACCCAGAGCGAUUUAUCAAGCAGAAGGCUUCAGAAUUUGAAUCAGCCGCCUUGGUCCUUUAGUCGCUUGAUGAUUUACUGCUCAAUUCCCAUGAAGAAGAAUGUCUCAUCUCUUUCAUAAUUUGUUGAACCUGGAUAAACCCUAGUGCGCAGCCGUUUCAUGAAGUGUUGAUGGUGUUUUACAUAACACUGCCAGACUUCGUCAUCAUGAGAGUAUCUUCAGAAAGGUGGUGCAACCUAAUUGCGAAGAAGAGGCAAAAGGAAGCAACCGAAAGGCAAACAAGACAGAUUUGAGGUCCCUGGAAUGUGACAUUGAUCCUGCCCACUUAAGCAGCACUGAAAAGCCUGACUCAGGCGUCUCAGGGAACAUGGCUUGGUAAAUUCCCGCAUCUCCAAAUUUGUUAAAGCUACGGCUCCAUCUUCAGCCUAAGACUGAGCAGUUGGUUUAAAUCGAAUCAAAUCGAAUUAAAUUAUUAAAAUUAAAUUAAUCAAAUUAUCAUAUUUUAGAAAUUAAAUUGAAUCGAAAUAUAUGAAAAAUUGAAUCAAACCGAAUUUGUAAUUCAAACUAAUUGAUUUUUG